AACAGGAUUAGAUACCCUGGUAGUCCACGCUGUAAACGAUGUCGACUUGGAGGUUGUGCCCUUGAGGCGUGGCUUCCGGAGCUAACGCGUUAAGUCGACCGCCUGGGGAGUACGGCCGCAAGGUUAAAACUCAAAUGAAUUGACGGGGGCCCGCACAAGCGGUGGAGCAUGUGGUUUAAUUCGAUGCAACGCGAAGAACCUUACCUACUCUUGACAUCCAGAGAAUUUGCUAGAGAUAGCUUAGUGCCUUCGGGAACUCUGAGACAGGUGCUGCAUGGCUGUCGUCAGCUCGUGUUGUGAAAUGUUGGGUUAAGUCCCGCAACGAGCGCAACCCUUAUCCUUUGUUGCCAGCACGUAAUGGUGGGAACUCAAAGGAGACUGCCGGUGAUAAACCGGAGGAAGGUGGGGAUGACGUCAAGUCAUCAUGGCCCUUACGAGUAGGGCUACACACGUGCUACAAUGGCAUAUACAAAGAGAAGCGAACUCGCGAGAGCAAGCGGACCUCAUAAAGUACGUCGUAGUCCGGAUUGGAGUCUGCAACUCGACUCCAUGAAGUCGGAAUCGCUAGUAAUCGUAGAUCAGAAUGCUACGGUGAAUACGUUCCCGGGCCUUGUACACACCGCCCGUCACACCAUGGGAGUGGGUUGCAAAAGAAGUAGGUAGCUUAACCUUCGGGAGGGCGCUUACCACUUUGUGAUUCAUGACUGGGGUGAAGUCGUAACAAGGUAACC
RNAcentral lists this ribosomal RNA (731 nucleotides) under uncultured bacterium. RNAcentral's name for it is "bacterial SSU rRNA". It matches the Rfam family "Bacterial small subunit ribosomal RNA", at positions 771 to 1501 of the family's 1533-position model. The record is from RNAcentral.